UAAACUGAGGUCACACCAAUUCCCAAAAU
Molecule: non-coding RNA, 29 nt
Filed under: Bombyx mori (domestic silkworm)
Lineage: Eukaryota; Metazoa; Arthropoda; Insecta; Lepidoptera; Bombycidae
Source: RNAcentral